This is a long non-coding RNA of Chinchilla lanigera (long-tailed chinchilla), 2171 nucleotides long. RefSeq lists it as uncharacterized. The record is from RefSeq and is a predicted model, not a curated record. The transcript has 3 exons. NCBI's taxonomy places the organism in Eukaryota, Metazoa, Chordata, Mammalia, Rodentia, Chinchillidae.
UCAGGCAGUCCCCUUGUGGUCCUCUUCCUUUCUUGUUUCACAUUAUAGCAGAUGACACCAUGUGGAAGCAAGUGUGAGAAGAAGAGAUCAAUGGGAGAAAAGAAGACAGAGAGCAAGGUUGAGAGAAAGUUGCUACGCCAAGACCUCCGCACGCCUUCCUCCUCCUGCUCUCACUCUGCCUGGCUCCAGACCUUCCCAGUCCAGAAACCAAACGGUUAAUGCUAGAAGCAGCAGGACAGGCCCCAACACGCUGGCCAAGGUCUUCUGUUGCCCUCAAUACCCUUAGGAAUUCCCAAGUGUGGAUCAGAGCAUCCAACUUCAAGUCUGUCUCUGAUUCCAAUUGCCAGAGCUCUUGAAUGGGUCAUGAGCUUGAAGGUUGCAGAGUCUCCAGAGAAGCACAGCUUCUUGGAAGUUCUUAAGAGUCCAGGCACUAGUCUCUGGAAAAUCUGGAGUUCCUGGGGACUAUUAGAAGCUUUAACUUUCCAUCAAAGUUAAAUAUCUCAAAAACUGUUCCUGGGAAGUGUCAUCAACACCUUCUUAAUUGGCGGCCUUGGCAUUGACUCAAGGCUGUGGUUUCUACUUCAGAUCCUGGAGCAACAUCAAGCCCUCCUCCAGGAUCAGUUCCCUUCUGGAUGGAAGAUAAGUAAGAACCUCCAGCUUGGGGAAAUAAAAGGAACCUAGCUUCGGUGAGUUGCAUAAGCCGUAUUUACACUGCUGUUAGAAAAUGCCAUUCUCUCCGGGAGAUUAUUGGCCAAAAGCCCUUGACCUCCAUCCUCACAGUAAGAGUAAGAGAUGAGAUAAGACAAAUUGAUUCUUCAGCAAUGGACGUUUGUUCUGAGGGCCAGAGGUCAAGAUCUUAGAAGAAGGAAGCACUUGUGCUUGCAUUCAGAUGGGUGAAAGCUUGGACAGCAGGACCCGGCAGAAGGAACCACCAAAGGGCUACCUAUCUCACUCUUGGAAAACUUUCCACCUCAGACUGUGAUCACAGCAGGUUUUACUUGCUUUGCACAUCCUCUAGAUGCAUGUGCCAGCCAGCUCUCUACAAGUAUAGCAGGACCUACAGUCCAGGGACUUUGUUCUAAAACUGCAGCUGGAGUUCUUCCCUUUUCUGAUUUCUCUUUCAUACUGUGGCCCUCACAUUCUUCAAAUGAGGCCGUUUGGAGCUUUGUCUGAGCAGUAGAGUUGAACAGCAAGAGAAAAAAUGACAGCCCCACCAAAAAUGGAUCCCUUCAGAGGAACAACAACAGUAGAUUUGGAAGAGCCUAUAAAAAAAAGAAAUUUUCCUCUACGUUCUUCUGGUGUUGAGUGAAGGAGUGAAAUAAAAGAGGAAAUUGUGAGGACAUGGAUGUUUGGAAUAUCUGAGAGGAGAGGAGUCCACAUUUCUGCUCAGGUAGAACCUAAGAAAGUGGUAAGACCAGGAGAAGAAAUGGCCCAGAGAUGAGAUGUGUUGCUUAGGUAAACAGGGAGCAUGUCCCAGGCUCCAGUGUGACCACACAUCAGCAGUUGGACCUAUGUGGCUGGUAGUGACUGGAAAUUGGUAGGGCCUUGGACAAGUUCACUGAGUUUCUCCGCUGAGCAGGAGUUAGGAGAGACCCUGAAAGAGCCCUGGAGGAGCCAGCAGUUAGAAGCAAGUGUCAGUUAACAGCCCCUUGCAUUACCAAAGACUAAGCAACAGCCAGGUAGAAGACCAGAGAAAUAAGGUGAUGACCACAUGAAUGGUAAGGGUGGAGGCCAGGCUCCGGGAUGCUUGGCAUUGCAUCUGGCAGCAGAAAUGAUGAUGUGACCCAUUGGAGUGGAGGUGGGGACACUCCAUGUUGAGAUUAUUUUUUCACUUCUCCAAGAAAAUGGACGUUAUGAUAUAAAUUAAGUUACCUGAGUGAGGAGACUGAUAUGCUUAUAUCCUAUUGAGGUGGGAUUCCACAGUUGGAUAAAAUUCAUAGUACACGGGUCUACUAAAAAUAACCAGAAAGACCUAAACCCAACAUUCAUAGUGGUCUCUUCUGGGUAGUAGAAUCAUUGGGUCCUUCCUUCAUUGCUUCCUUCCUUCCUUCCCUCCUUUUUUCUUUCCCCCCUCAUUGCCUCUGUCCCUCUCUUUCUUCCUCUCAGGUAUCUUUUUGUCUAAUUUUCACAAUGGACUGUUUUUCUACUUUUCUACAACAAACAAUAAAUUA